ACUGGGACUGAGACACGGCCCAAACUCCUACGGGAGGCAGCAGUGGGGAAUUUUCCGCAAUGGGCGCAAGCCUGACGGACCAAUACCGCGUGAGGGAGGAAGGCCUUUGGGUUGUAAACCUCUUUUUCUUAAGGAAGAAUAUCUGACGGCACUUAAGGAAUCAGCCUCGGCUAACUCCGUGCCAACCGCCGCGGUAAUACAGAAGAUGCACGCUUUAUCCAGAAUUAUUGGGCGUAAAGCGUCCGCACGCGGCUCUAUAACUCUGCUGUCAAAGACCGCAUCUCAACUGCGGAAAGGCAGUGGAAACUGUAGAGCUAGAGUACGGUAGGGGUAGAGGGAAUUCCCAGUGUAGCGGUGAAAUGCGUAGAGAUUGGGAAGAACACCAGUGGCGAAAGCGCUCUACUGGGCCGUAACUGACGCUCAGGGACGAAAGCUAGGGGAGCGAAAGGGAUUAGAUACCCCUGUAGUCCUAGCUGUAAACGAUGGAUACUAGGCGUAGCUUGUAUCGACCCGAGCUGUGCCGAAGCUAACGCGUUAAGUAUCCCGCCUGGGGAGUACGCACGCAAGUGUGAAACUCAAAGGAAUUGACGGGGGCCCGCACAAGCGGUGGAGUAUGUGGUUUAAUUCGAUGCAACGCGAAGAACCUUACCAGGGCUUGACAUGUCGCGAAUCUGAGGGAAACCUCACAGUGCCUUCGGGAGCGCGAACACAGGUGGUGCAUGGCUUGUCGCCAGCUCGUGUCGUGA
Molecule: ribosomal RNA, 746 nt
Filed under: uncultured cyanobacterium
Lineage: Bacteria; Bacillati; Cyanobacteriota
Description: bacterial SSU rRNA
Rfam family: Bacterial small subunit ribosomal RNA
Source: RNAcentral